Molecule: ribosomal RNA, 492 nt
Filed under: uncultured bacterium
Lineage: Bacteria
Description: partial 16S ribosomal RNA
Rfam family: Bacterial small subunit ribosomal RNA
Source: RNAcentral
AGUGAACGCUGGCGGUAGGCCUAACACAUGCAAGUCGAACGGCAGCACAGUAAGAGCUUGCUCUUACGGGUGGCGAGUGGCGGACGGGUGAGGAAUACAUCGGAAUCUACUUUUUCGUGGGGGAUGACGUAGGGAAACUUACGCUAAUACCGCAUACGACCUACGGGUGAAAGCAGGGGAUCUUCGGACCUUGCGCGAUUGAAUGAGCCGAUGUCGGAUUAGCUAGUUGGCGGGGUAAGGGCCCACCAAGGCGACGAUCCGUAGCUGGUCUGAGAGGAUGAUCAGCCACACUGGAACUGAGACACGGUCCAGACUCCUACGGGAGGCAGCAGUGGGGAAUAUUGGACAAUGGGCGCAAGCCUGAUCCAGCCAUACCGCGUGGGUGAAGAAGGCCUUCGGGUUGUAAAGCCCUUUUGUUGGGAAAGAAAAGCAGCAGGUUAAUACCCCGCUGUUCUGACGGUACCCAAAGAAUAAGCACCGGCUAACUUCGUG